This 446-nucleotide ribosomal RNA is filed under the name uncultured bacterium. RNAcentral's name for it is "bacterial SSU rRNA". It matches the Rfam family "Bacterial small subunit ribosomal RNA", at positions 331 to 793 of the family's 1533-position model. The record is from RNAcentral.
CCAGACUCCUACGGGAGGCAGCAGUGGGGGAUAUUGCACAAUGGGGGGAACCCUGAUGCAGCGACGCCGCGUGGGUGAAGAAGUAUUUCGGUAUGUAAAGCCCUAUCGGCAGGGAAGAAAUUGGACGGUACCUGACUAAGAAGCCCCGGCUAACUACGUGCCAGCAGCCGCGGGAAUACGUAGGGGGCAAGCGUUAUCCGGAUUUACUGGGUGUAAAGGGAGCGUAGACGGCGAUGCAAGCCAGAUGUGAAAGCCCGGGGCUCAACCCCGGGACUGCAUUUGGAACUGUGUGGCUGGAGUGUCGGAGAGGCAGGCGGAAUUCCUAGUGUAGCGGUGAAAUGCGUAGAUAUUAGGAGGAACACCAGUGGCGAAGGCGGCCUGCUGGACGAUGACUGACGUUGAGGCUCGAAAGCGUGGGGAGCAAACAGGAUUAGAUACCCUAGUAC